RNAcentral lists this ribosomal RNA (531 nucleotides) under Paenibacillus yonginensis. Its description in RNAcentral is "bacterial SSU rRNA". It matches the Rfam family "Bacterial small subunit ribosomal RNA", at positions 97 to 614 of the family's 1533-position model. The record is from RNAcentral. Lineage: Bacteria; Bacillati; Bacillota; Bacilli; Caryophanales; Paenibacillaceae.
GGCGGACGGGUGAGUAACACGUAGGCAACCUGCCUGCAAGACUGGGAUAACUACCGGAAACGGUAGCUAAUACCGGAUACGCAAGAGAGUCGCAUGAUUUUCUUGGGAAAGACGGAGCAAUCUGUCACUUGCGGAUGGGCCUGCGGCGCAUUAGCUAGUUGGUGAGGUAACGGCUCACCAAGGCGACGAUGCGUAGCCGACCUGAGAGGGUGAACGGCCACACUGGGACUGAGACACGGCCCAGACUCCUACGGGAGGCAGCAGUAGGGAAUCUUCCGCAAUGGACGAAAGUCUGACGGAGCAACGCCGCGUGAGUGAUGAAGGUUUUCGGAUCGUAAAGCUCUGUUGCCAGGGAAGAACGUCGGGUAGAGUAACUGCUAUCCGAGUGACGGUACCUGAGAAGAAAGCCCCGGCUAACUACGUGCCAGCAGCCGCGGUAAUACGUAGGGGGCAAGCGUUGUCCGGAAUUAUUGGGCGUAAAGCGCGCGCAGGCGGCCAUUUAAGUCUGGUGUUUAAUCCCGGGGCUCAACU